Molecule: ribosomal RNA, 327 nt
Filed under: uncultured eukaryote
Lineage: Eukaryota
Description: partial 18S ribosomal RNA
Rfam family: Eukaryotic small subunit ribosomal RNA
Source: RNAcentral
UCCUUAGAUGUUCUCGGCCGCACACGCGCUACACUGAAAGAGGCAACGUGUUUGCCUGAUUCGAAAGAAUUGGGUAACCCCCUAAUCUCUUUCGUGCUGGGGAUUGAGGUUUGCAAUUAUCCUUCAUGAACGAGGAAUUCCCAGUAAGUGCGAGUCAUUAUCUCGCGCUGACUACGUCCCUGCCCUUUGUACACACCGCCCGUCGCUACUACCGAUUGAAUGAUUUAGUGAGGACUUCGGACUGAGUCCAAUGCGGCUUUCGGGCUGCGUUGGUAUUUCGGAAAGAUGUCCAAACUGUAUCAUUUAGAGGAAGUAAAAGUCGUAACA